UAAAGUGCUUAUAGUGCAGGUAGUGUUUAGUUAUCUACUGCAUCAUGAGCACUUAAAG
RNAcentral lists this microRNA precursor (58 nucleotides) under Microcebus murinus (gray mouse lemur). RNAcentral's name for it is "microRNA mmr-mir-20 precursor". Its record names the gene mmr-mir-20. It matches the Rfam family "mir-17 microRNA precursor family", at positions 11 to 70 of the family's 80-position model. From Rfam's summary of the family: This family represents the microRNA (miRNA) precursor mir-17, family, which includes mir-20, mir-91, and mir-103. miRNAs are transcribed as ~70nt precursors (modelled here) and subsequently processed by the Dicer enzyme to give a ~22nt product. Lineage: Eukaryota; Metazoa; Chordata; Mammalia; Primates; Cheirogaleidae. The record is from miRBase by way of RNAcentral.